UCCCUCUUUGCAGUGGUCAAAGAGGCACCUCGUUUGUGGUGUUAUUCUUACAUCAGUUAGGGGCAGAGCCGAUGGCAGUCUUUUGUUCAUCCCAGCUUAAUGCCUGGCUUGGUGGCCAAAGCUGUCUUGUGCCUAGGACUCAUAA
Small nucleolar RNA from Mus pahari (shrew mouse), 145 nucleotides. RefSeq annotates it as small nucleolar RNA SNORA48. NCBI's taxonomy places the organism in Eukaryota, Metazoa, Chordata, Mammalia, Rodentia, Muridae. The record is from RefSeq and is a predicted model, not a curated record. The transcript has a single exon.